Molecule: ribosomal RNA, 411 nt
Filed under: Triticum aestivum (bread wheat)
Lineage: Eukaryota; Viridiplantae; Streptophyta; Magnoliopsida; Poales; Poaceae
Description: partial small subunit ribosomal RNA
Source: RNAcentral
AUGAAGAGACUCUUGAGGGGCUCAUCGAGCCGAAGCUCGAAGGAAAAGGCACAGAAGCCCAAAUAUAAUCUACCUCGCAGCGCGGAGGUUCGGUCGUGUGAAUGGCCUUCCGAUAAUUUCUUGAGAGCAGCCGGGAUUUAUGAAGACUUUUAUGAAUUGGCUGAGAAUGCAGGACUCACCGCUUUCCUCCACGACCAACGCGACCAGUAUCUCUUACUCACAAAUAUCUUUGUGCAAAACUUUCAUUUCCAUUCUAGGAGCUCACCACCUACGGUGGAGUUUUAUUUAUAUGAUGAGCAUAAGGAGAUGUCACUUUAUGAUUUUUAUCGGGUUUGUUUGGUCCCUUUCAAGGGCACGACAGAGGAACCACACGCGGUGAUGUGGAUGGGUUUAUUGAUACCAUCACUGUAG